RNAcentral lists this ribosomal RNA (292 nucleotides) under uncultured bacterium. Its description in RNAcentral is "partial 16S ribosomal RNA". It matches the Rfam family "Bacterial small subunit ribosomal RNA", at positions 505 to 796 of the family's 1533-position model. The record is from RNAcentral.
GUGUCAGCAGCCGCGGUAAGACAGAGGUCCCGAGCGUUAGGCGGAAUCACUGGGCUUAAAGCGUGUGUAGGCGGGCCUGCAAGUACCUUGUGAAAUCCCACGGCUUAACCGUGGAACUGCUGGGUAUACUGCUGGUCUUGAGGCAUCUAGAGGCAACUGGAACAAACGGUGGAGCGGUGAAAUGCGUAGAUAUCGUUUGGAACGCCCAUGGUGAAAACAGGUUGCUGGGGAUGUACUGACGCUGAGACACGAAAGCUAGGGGAGCAAACGGGAUUAGAAACCCGAGUAGUCC